This is a long non-coding RNA of Spinacia oleracea (spinach), 2932 nucleotides long. RefSeq lists it as uncharacterized. The record is from RefSeq and is a predicted model, not a curated record. The transcript is spliced from 3 exons. Lineage: Eukaryota; Viridiplantae; Streptophyta; Magnoliopsida; Caryophyllales; Amaranthaceae.
UGAUUUGUAGCAGUGCUAUGCGGUCUGUCUCAUUAUUUCGAGCACUGGAGAAUUGGAGACAAUGAAACAGUAUAUUAGCACAAAUGAGCAAGUAAAAAAAAGAACACAACAUGACUUAGUUUUUGAAGAAAAAAAGGCACAUUAGGUAUCUUAUUUAUGAGCUAACAUAGGGGAAUGGAUGCUCAUAUGGGUUUCCUGAGACCCUAUUUAUAAUACUUGAUCAGAGCAACAAUAAGCAGUGGUAGGGACUAGGGACAUGAAAAUUUUGUGGAGAGGCCUUGCCUGUUGACAAAAUUUCAUUGAAUACUGUUAUUAAGGAAGCAAGAAAGAUUAUAAAGAACGUCAAUAAAGAACACAGAGAUUUAACGUGGUUUACUAAUAAUGUGUAAAUGUGUUAGCUACGUCCACAGGCAGAGGAGGGGGUAAGUUUUAUGAUCUUGAGGAGUAUAGAUUACAGAAUAGAACUAGGUUAUGACUUCAUUGAAUACCGAUUCAAGGCAUAUUCUAACAAAUAUUGGUCUAGCAAAUGCCAAAGUUAAAUGUAGCAUGUUCAUUAAAGAAAACCAAUCAAAUUAUUUUCGAGUUUAGUGUUCGGAACUAAUAAUGCAAUUACUUUCUCCAUUAUUUUUCUGUAAAAUAUGCAGAUACUGGGUGUUUGAUGGUUUCCUCUUUUUACACUAGGGUAAGCAAAACAUCUUAUAUACAGGGCUGGUGACAAGAAAAUCAGAAUGUCAUCAAAUAGUAUUAGGAUGAACUCGUGUUAAAAGUUUCAAGUUUUCAACCAAUUACUUAAUUAGUGGCCUUUUGAUAGUUUGAUCAACUUCAAAACUUUAAACAACUCAAAAUCGGUUGAGCAAUAAUAAUUGCUACAAGUUCAUAUAUGACUAAUUCAAAUGGCCUGGUCAUGACUUAUUCAAAAUUCUUUGAAGUCAGUUCACAGAUGAUAAAUUAUCAAGAUAAGGAACAACUCACCAUUAAAUUUUGGGAGCAGUUGGGACAUGAGUGCCUUUCUUGUACAGUUUUAAUACGCAGACAGUUACUAGCUCUGAAAUUUGACUUGGUAAAUGUAUGUAUUAAUUGAUCCUUAUACUGCUUUAUAAUUGGUAAAUUGAUGUUUGGUUCUGUUAAACUUCAGACCCCUACUUUGAUGUUAUCUUCAGACCCCUACUGGAAAUAUUUACAGGAUGGAAGCCUACUGACGACAUGUUUAAAGUAAGCCAGAAUCUUCAUCACCUUGUAAAAGAAGCCCUACCUGAUCAGGUGACAGAGAUUUUAGAUCAAGCUAUUCUUGACGACUUAACAGGAGAUGAGAAAAUCAGGUGUAGUACGUUGGAGGCUUUGAUUACUGUACUUGGAAUUGCACUUUCUUGCUCUGCUGAUCUCCCACGAGAAAAGUUGGACAUGAGUGACGUAAAGUAGACCUCAGUCGGGUCGGGUUGUAAAAAUUAUUUUCGAGUUCGGGUUGAAUCGGUCGGUCACUUUUGGGCUCUAGUUUACAAAUGCUUGUUCAAGACCCAGAACUUUCGGGUUCGGGUCGACCCAUCGGGUUGAGAUAUUUUAAAAUGUGCACUAUAUUUUCAUUGAUUUAGAUGAUUAAAUAUACGGAGUGGAGUACAAAAUAUGGGCACAAAUUAACAAAUUUUCUUACACAAGUUUAUAUGUAGUCAAAUUCAACCAUAAAAUGGGGUAUAAUUCAAAUUAAAAUCAUAUUACACACAACAAUAGUAAAAACGUGUUUAUUAUGUUACGGGUCAUAAAAUCGUAUUCAGGACCCAAUAUUUUCGGGUCGGUUUUUCGGUUCGGGUCGGUUUUUUACAGUUCUACUACAAAACUUUCUUCAAUUAGAAACAAGCUUUGUGGGAGCUGAUUAUAAACUUCUUGAAACUAGCAAAUCAUAGCGAGGGAGGAAAUGUCCAGCAGGUACCACUAUUGCCUUGUUCUGAAUCUGGACAUUGGUUUUUCUUGUCGAGCAUCGGAUGCAGAAUAUGGAAUUGCAAAUGAGGUGACCACGAAAGGUGAUGUGUAUAGUUUUUGGCAUUCUUUUGCUCGAAAUCUUUACAGGAAAGAGGCCUACUGAUGACAUGUUUGAAGGGGAACUAAGCCUUCGUAAAUUUGUCGAAGAAGCAAUGGAAGACCAAGUGAGAGAGAUUUUAAACCCCGAUCUUCAUCAGGACAUGAUUGAUCUUGAAUAUAAUGCAAGGCGUGCACGUAAUACCAGAAUCAGUACAAAUAUUGAUGAGAUUUUGCAGUGCAUAAUUUCCAUAUUUAGUGUUGAUUGUCUUGUUCUGUUGAGCUUCCUAUGGAAAGGUUGGAUAUCAGAGAUGCAGUAAGGCAGCUAGUUUCAAUUAGAAACAGGCUGCAAGCCUGCAACUAAGGUGGUUAAUGAGUUUAUGAUAGACCUGAUCAAAUGGCGGGUCAACCCGGGCCGAGACAUAAAAAUCAGUCCGUUAUGUCGGGCCGGGUCAAGAUUCGGGCCAAAAAUUUGUGCCCAAACCUACUAUUUUCGGGCCGGGUCAAAUUUAUAACUAAAGGUGUAGUUUUAUGUUUUCCAAACCCGCCCAAAAAACAAAAAAACAAGGCGGGGGCCAGGCUCGAAAACUCUGCCCAAUUCCACAAAAAAUCGGGCCGGGCCGGGCUCAUCUUGAUCAGGUCAAGUUUAUGACAAACCAAUCAGAGUGGAAAGUACGGACAAGAUUAACAUUGAUUAUUUCUGGGUGCCAUGUAAUUUUGUGAUGUACGGAGACCCUCAAAGACGGUGAUAUUGACGGGAUUUGAUCUUAGAUUUUGUGUCAUAGUAAUUUAUUUGUCCCUCUCUUCAGCUUUCAAGUAUAGAAGUUUGCUAGAAUUGCUACUGUAAUUUUAAUACCAAGUACUGUUUGAUGUUUGUCACUUGUACUAUAUUCUAUAUUCUAUAUUCAGAGAAAUUUUAGUA